AACGUACCCCAAAGUGAGGGAUAAGCACCAGAAAUGGUGUCUAAUACCACAUGUGGCCUUCGGGCUAAAGCUCCGGCGCUUUGGGAACGGCCUGCGCAUGAUUAGCUAGUUGGUGAGGUAAAAGCUCACCAAGGCGACGAUCAUUAGCUGGUCUGAGAGGAUGACCAGCCAGACUGGAACUGAGAACGGUCCAGACUCCUACGGGAGGCAGCAGUAGGGAAUUUUCCACAAUGGGCGAAAGCCUGAUGGAGCAACGCCGCGUGCAG
RNAcentral lists this ribosomal RNA (266 nucleotides) under uncultured bacterium. RNAcentral's name for it is "partial 16S ribosomal RNA". It matches the Rfam family "Bacterial small subunit ribosomal RNA", at positions 123 to 406 of the family's 1533-position model. The record is from RNAcentral.